RNAcentral lists this ribosomal RNA (331 nucleotides) under uncultured Lachnospiraceae bacterium. RNAcentral's name for it is "bacterial SSU rRNA". It matches the Rfam family "Bacterial small subunit ribosomal RNA", at positions 28 to 339 of the family's 1533-position model. Lineage: Bacteria; Bacillati; Bacillota; Clostridia; Lachnospirales; Lachnospiraceae. The record is from RNAcentral.
GAUGAACGCUGGCGGCGUGCCUAACACAUGCAAGUUGAACGAAGCAAUCAAGACAGAAUCCUUCGGGAGGAAGAUUUGAUUGACUGAGUGGCGGACGGGUGAGUAACGCGUGGGUAACCUGCCUUGUACAGGGGGAUAACAGUUAGAAAUGACUGCUAAUACCGCAUAAGCGCACAGUACUGCAUGGUACAGUGUGAAAAACUCCGGUGGUACAAGAUGGACCCGCGUCUGAUUAGCCAGUUGGCAGGGUAACGGCCUACCAAAGCAACGAUCAGUAGCCGACUUGAGAGAGUGAUCGGCCACAUUGGGACUGAGACACGGCCCAGACUCC